CUGACAACCUUGUGCCCUGGGCCAAUAAUCUCUGUCUGUCUCUCUCUGACCUCUUUCUCUUGUGUUCUUUACACCAUCUAUCUCUGUCUCUCUCUCUGUUCUCUCUUUCUCUCUCGCUCUCUCCACCUCUCUCGUGUUCUCUACCCCAUCUAUAUCUCUCUUUGUCUCUCUCACUCUCUCCACCCCCUCUCUCCAUCUCCCUCCCCCUCUCUUGUUUUCUCUACCCCAUCUAUCUCUCUCUUUGUCUCUCUCACUCUCUCCACCCCCUCUCUCUAUCUCCCUCCCCUCUCUUGUUUUCUCUACCCCAUCUAUCUCUCUCUUUGUCUCUCUCACUCUCCACCCCCUCUCUCCAUCUCCCUCCCCCUCUUGUUUUCUCUACCCCAUCUAUAUCUCUCUUUGUCUCUCUCACUCUCUCCACCCCCUCUCUCCAUCUCCCUCCCCCUCUCUUGUUUUCUCUACCCCAUCUAUCUCUCUCUUUGUCUCUCUCACUCUCUCCACCCCCUCUCUCUAUCUCCCUCCCCUCUCUUGUUUUCUCUACCCCAUCUAUCUCUCUCUUUGUCUCUCUCACUCUCUCCACCCCCUCUCCAUCUCCCUCCCCCUCUCUUGUUUUCUCUACCCCAUCUAUCUCUCUCUUUGUCUCUCUCACUCUCUCCACCCCCUCUCUCCAUCUCCCUCCCCCUCUCUUGUUUUCUCUACCCCAUCUAUCUCUCUCUUUGUCUCUCUCACUCUCUCCACCCCCUCUCUCCAUCUCCCUCCCCCUCUCUUGUUUUCUCUACCCCAUCUAUCUCUCUCUUGGCUGUUUUCAUCCUACUUCAUCUGUUCUGCUUCUCUACCAUGUCACUCCAGUCUACCUCUGAACCAUUCCGUAUCUAUAGGAUAUACUGCUUGUCUGUACUGACCUGGACUGAUCAUUACCCUGUUAGAGGGUUGAUCAGGAAGAUGUCUGGACUGACCUGGACUGAUCAUUACCCUGUUAGAGGGUUGAUCAGGAAGAUGUCUGUACUGACCUGGACUGAUCAUUACCCUGUUAGAGGGUUGAUCAGGAAGAUGUCUGUACUGACCUGGACUGAUCAUUACCCUGUUAGAGGGUUGAUCAGGAAGAUGUCUGGACUGACCUGGACUGAUCAUUACCCUGUUAGAGGGUUGAUCAGGAAGAUGUCUGUACUGACCUGGACUGAUCAUUACCCUGUUAGAGGGUUGAUCAGGAAGAUGGGAGAGAUUACGGAUGAGUGGACAGAAUGGGUGGAUAAAUAUCAUUUUCAGGAUGAAAAUGAUAUUUAUCUGUAG
Molecule: long non-coding RNA, 1287 nt
Filed under: Salmo trutta (river trout)
Lineage: Eukaryota; Metazoa; Chordata; Actinopteri; Salmoniformes; Salmonidae
Description: lncRNA (ENSSTUG00000030197.1)
Source: RNAcentral